Oncorhynchus mykiss (rainbow trout) is the source of this 993-nucleotide non-coding RNA. The record is from RefSeq and is a predicted model, not a curated record. Lineage: Eukaryota; Metazoa; Chordata; Actinopteri; Salmoniformes; Salmonidae.
UAACCCUUCACUACCCUCCACAUCCAGCUGUAGGUACAGUAACCCUCCACUACCCUCCACAUCCAGCUGUAGGUACAGUAACCCUUCACUACCCUCCUCAUCCAGCUGCAGAGUGGCAGGUACAGUAACCCUUCACUACCCUCCACAUCCAGCUGUAGGUACAGUAACCCUCCACUACCCUCCUCAUCCAGCUGUAGGUACAGUAACCCUCCACUACCCUCCACAUCCAGCUGUAGGUACAGUAACCCUUCACUACCCUCCACAUCCAGCUGUAGGUACAGUAACCCUUCACUACCCUCCUCAUCCAGCUGUAGGUACAGUAACCCUUCACUACCCUCCUCAUCCAGCUGUAGGUACAGUAACCCUCCACUACCCUCCUCAUCCAGCUGUAGGUACAGUAACCCUCCACUACCCUCCUCAUCCAGCUGUAGGUACAGUAACCCUUCACUACCCUCCUCAUCCAGCUGUAGGUACAGUAACCCUUCACUACCCUCCUCAUCCAGCUGUAGGUACAGUAACCCUUCACUACCCUCCUCAUCCAGCUGUAGGUACAGUAACCCUUCACUACCCUCCUCAUCCAACUGUAGGUACAGUAACCCUUCACUACCCUCCUCAUCCAGCUGUAGGUACAGUAACCCUUCACUACCCUCCUCAUCCAGCUGUAGGUACAGUAACCCUUCACUACCCUCCUCAUCCAGCGGUAGGUACAGUAACCCUCCACUACCCUCCACAUCCAGCUGUAGGUACAGUAACCCUCCACUACCCUCCACAUCCAGCUGUAGGUACAGUAACCCUUCACUACCCUCCUCAUCCAGCUGUACGUACAGUAACCCUCCACUACCCUCCUCAUCCAGCUGUAGGUACAGCAGGGGUGUGUGUAUAUUGGGUUGUUUGAAGACACAAGUGUGUAACGUAUUAACCUAACACUUCAAAGUGUGUGUGUGUGUGUUUCAUUUGAACAGUGUGGUUCCUGGCCGUGUGUGUUUCAUUUGA